Molecule: ribosomal RNA, 461 nt
Filed under: uncultured bacterium
Lineage: Bacteria
Description: bacterial SSU rRNA
Rfam family: Bacterial small subunit ribosomal RNA
Source: RNAcentral
UUUGGAUUGUAAAGCACUUUCGACCGGGACGAAGACAUGUUGGCUAACANCCAGCAGCUUGACGGUACCGGGAGAAGAAGCACCGGCUAACUCUGUGCCAGCAGCCGCGGUAAUACAGAGGGUGCAAGCGUUGUUCGGAAUUAUUGGGCGUAAAGCGCGUGUAGGCGGCUUUGCAAGUCGGAUGUGAAAGCCCUCGGCUCAACCGAGGAAGUGCGUUCGAAACUGCAGAGCUUGAGUACCGGAGAGGGUGGCGGAAUUCCCCAAGUAGAGGUGAAAUUCGUAGAUAUGGGGAGGAACACCGGUGGCGAAGGCGGCCACCUGGACGGUCACUGACGCUGAGACGCGAAAGCGUGGGUAGCAAACAGGAUUAGAUACCCUGGUAGUCCACGCCGUAAACGAUGAGAACUAGGUGUCGUGGGUGUUGACCCCCGCGGUGCCGUAGCUAACGCAUUAAGUUCUCC